AUGUCGUGUGGUGGCUCACAGUUCUGGAAGGCGUUGGUCAAAGUUAGGCCUAUUUUUCAAUUAUUCAUUAAGUUUGUCGUUGGGGACGGUGCUUCGAUCAGGUUUUGGUUAGAUUGGUGGUGUGGAGAUUCACCACUCUCGGUGACCUUUCCCAUCCUGUUUUCUUAUUGUUCGGACCCUGCCAUUUCUAUUGCUAAGUUAGCUUCCCAGGGGUGGAACCUGAUCUUCCGGCGUUCCUUGUCGCCUGUAGAGUUCGAAGAGUGGCAACGUCUUACUGCCCUCUUCCCUUUGCUCUCGACGGCUAGGGACUCGGUGAUCUGGCCGCUGUCUUCCUCUGGUCGGUUCUCGGUGAAAUCUCUUUAUUCCAAGCUCGUUGGGGGUACGCCCAUUAAUCGCUUCUCCCAGGUCUGGAAGGCUCGUCUUCCCCCUAAGAUUAAAAUCUUCUUAUGGCAAGCCUUUCGGCAUCGGCUGCCUUCGGCUAAUCAAAUUCGCAAGAGAAAUGGCCCGGGCUCCCAGUUCUGUGCUCUGUGUGGUGCUGUUGAGGACAAUGAGCAUAUCUUUUUUCAUUGUCACCUGGCUAAGCUCAUUUGGAGUUGCGUUCGGGAUUGGUUAAACGUCUCUUGGGCCCCUGCCUCCUUUGCGGAGCUGCGAGCCUUGGCCCAUGACCUUUCAGGCGUCUCUCGGCGUCUAUUUUGGGUGGGCUUGGGAGCGUUGUGCUGGUCCCUUUGGACGACUAGGAACAAAUUUACUAUUGAACAUGUGUUUCUUGCUAAACCUGCUGACUACUUAUUUCAAUCAUGUGCCCUCCUGCAGCAGUGGAAAUCAUUGACUAAGGACGACGACCAUGACGCGUUCACUGCGUUAACAUCCAAAAUCCGGACGACGGCAUCUCUUCUUUGCAGACAAGCGCAGGGUGACUAA
This 921-nucleotide ribosomal RNA is filed under the name Triticum aestivum (bread wheat). Its description in RNAcentral is "partial small subunit ribosomal RNA". Lineage: Eukaryota; Viridiplantae; Streptophyta; Magnoliopsida; Poales; Poaceae. The record is from RNAcentral.